This 490-nucleotide ribosomal RNA is filed under the name uncultured bacterium. Its description in RNAcentral is "partial 16S ribosomal RNA". It matches the Rfam family "Bacterial small subunit ribosomal RNA", at positions 29 to 507 of the family's 1533-position model. The record is from RNAcentral.
AACGAACGCUGGCGGCAUGCCUUACACAUGCAAGUCGAACGGCAGCAUGACCUAGCUUGCUAGGUUGAUGGCGAGUGGCGAACGGGUGAGUAAUGCAUCGGAACGUGCCUUUUAGUGGGGGAUAACGUAGCGAAAGUUACGCUAAUACCGCAUAUUCUCUGAGGAGGAAAGCAGGGGACCUUCGGGCCUUGCGCUAGAAGAGCGGCCGAUGUCGGAUUAGCUAGUUGGUGAGGUAAAGGCUCACCAAGGCAACGAUCCGUAGCGGGUCUGAGAGGAUGAUCCGCCACACUGGGACUGAGACACGGCCCAGACUCCUACGGGAGGCAGCAGUGGGGAAUUUUGGACAAUGGGCGCAAGCCUGAUCCAGCCAUGCCGCGUGAGUGAAGAAGGCCUUCGGGUUGUAAAGCUCUUUCGGCUGGGAAGAAAUCGCACCCUCUAAUACAGGGUGUGGAUGACGGUACCAGCAUAAGAAGCACCGGCUAACUACGUG